CAUCACCUGUCCACCACCUUGGGUGGUUUUGAUAAUUAAAACCAUCAGCGUCCAUGGUUUUGAUAAUUAAAACCAUCAGCUUUUCCUUGGAUUUGAGAUACUAGUCCUCAAGUUGUGCCAUCACGUAUUGAAAUGUUUCAGUCUCUCUUUCUCUCUCUCUCUCUCUCUCUCUCUCUCUCUCUCUCUCUUUUGCACUCUCACUUCCCUCAUCUUCACAGAUGAGCUGCAGAACAUACCAUAGAUUGAAAUGUUUAAUUGUCUCUCUCUCUCUCUCAGUCUAUUUUCGCAUUCUUUCUUCCCUCAUCGUCACAGAGAUGAGUUGCAGAAAUUCACCGGUAAUCUCUCUCUCUUCGCACUCUCUUUUCCCCCAUCUUCACAGAGACGAGCUGCAGAAAUUCGCCAAGGCUUUGCUGCUACAUAGGAGAUCGAAAGUUUGGGAUUUGCAGCGAGAUUCAAAUCGCCUAGACUACCACGUAACGCUGCCUAGCCCGCCGAGCGCCUAGGCGAUCGCCUAAGUCCUCCCCGCCUAAUUGAACUCUUUGGUCUAAAUCGGAUUGGAACACUGGUUUAAGAAACUUAAUGCUUCCUCUUCUCCUCCACCAAAUGCAAAUGUUGUGCCCUACAACACAACAUUUUUAAUAAUAAAAAAGUUGGGCACAAUGGGGUGAGGUACAAGGAGUGCCUUAAGAACCAUGCAGCAGUCGUAUGAGGUACUGCUACGGAUGGCUGUGGUGAAUUCAUGCCUAAUAGAGAAGAAGGCACCAUCGAAGCCCUUAAGGGCCUUAACUGUUUUGCUUGCAAUUACCACAGAAAAGAAGUUGAAGGUGAUCAACAACAGCAGCUUUCCUCUUGGGAUCAUAAUUUCCAUCACACCAUCAACAGGGCGGUUAGAGUUGGGAGCACGAAAUUCUUAUUAAAUCAUGGAGGAGGAACAUGACAUCACAAAAGUUUACUAGCAUUACCCCAAUAUCCCUACCAACACCAGAUGAUAAUGUCUUACAACAUGGGGAUGGAAAUAGUGGAGAUAAUAUCUAACUACAACAUGGGGAUGCGAAUGAUGGGGUCCAUCCCCUUAGAUCAAUCUGAUUAGCAGAAAGAUCAUCACCGUCGUCAUCACGAUGGCAGAUCAUGUAUUGACAUAGGUGUAUGGAAAUCGCAUGCUUUGUUGAUCAUCAAGUUCAUUUGCUUGAAUCAAUAGGACUUUGAGAUCCAUUUGAAUGUUCGGAAAUUGGAGAUUGAAACAUAGUUGAAUUCUAAGAGAUUUGAAGAGAGAGAUGGACCUUUGAUUGGAAAAUGACUACUGACUGACGGUUUGAAAAAAUCAUUCCUCAUAUUGUUCUUCUCUGUAAGUGGUGGAUCAUGUAUUGAUAGAGAUGCAGGCUUUACACGCGCUUUUGUUAGAUAUUUUUAAUUUUUUUUCUUUCUCUUGUCCUUGUCAUUAAAUAAAGUUAAUGGGUGGUUAUUUGUUAACACUCAAAGUUUUUAAGUCA
Long non-coding RNA from Pyrus x bretschneideri (Chinese white pear), 1490 nucleotides. RefSeq lists it as uncharacterized. The transcript is spliced from 2 exons. The record is from RefSeq and is a predicted model, not a curated record. Lineage: Eukaryota; Viridiplantae; Streptophyta; Magnoliopsida; Rosales; Rosaceae.